UACGUAGGGUGCGAGCGUUGUCCGGAAUUAUUGGGCGUAAAGAGCUCGUAGGCGGCCUGUCGCGUCGGAUGUGAAAGCCCGGGGCUCAACCCCGGGUCUGCAUUCGAUACGGGCAGGCUAGAGUGUGGUAGGGGAGAUCGGAAUUCCUGGUGUAGCGGUGAAAUGCGCAGAUAUCAGGAGGAACACCGGUGGCGAAGGCGGAUCUCUGGGCCUGUCCUGACGCUCAGGCGCGAAAGCUAGGGGAGCGAACAGG
RNAcentral lists this ribosomal RNA (253 nucleotides) under uncultured bacterium. Its description in RNAcentral is "partial 16S ribosomal RNA". It matches the Rfam family "Bacterial small subunit ribosomal RNA", at positions 524 to 776 of the family's 1533-position model. The record is from RNAcentral.